GCCAGAGUGGUCUAGUGGUCUGAGUGUUGGAUUAUGACUCUGGAGACCAGGAUUCAAAUCCCAGUUCGGUCA
Phrynosoma platyrhinos (Desert horned lizard) is the source of this 72-nucleotide non-coding RNA. The record is from the annotation of a GenBank genome assembly. Lineage: Eukaryota; Metazoa; Chordata; Lepidosauria; Squamata; Phrynosomatidae.